AUUGAACGCUGGCGGCAGGCCUAACACAUGCAAGUCGAGCGAGCGGCGGACGGGUGAGUAAUGUCUGGGAAACUGCCUGAUGGAGGGGGAUAACUACUGGAAACGGUAGCUAAUACCGCAUACCAUCAGAUGUGCCCAGAUGGGAUUAGCUAGUAGGUGGGGUAACGGCUCACCUAGGCGACGAUCGCUAGCUGGUCUGAGAGGAUGACCAGCCACACGGGAACUGAGACACGGUCCAGAGUCCUGCGUGAGGCAGCAGUGGGGAAUAUGGCACAAUGGGCGAAAGCCUGAUGCAGCCAUGCCGCGUGUGUGAAGAAGGCCUUCGGGUUGUAAAGCACGUUCAGCGGGGAGGCGUUACCCGCAGAAGAAGCACCGGCUAACUCCGUGCCAGCAGCCGCGGUAAUAC
This 406-nucleotide ribosomal RNA is filed under the name uncultured bacterium. RNAcentral's name for it is "partial 16S ribosomal RNA". It matches the Rfam family "Bacterial small subunit ribosomal RNA", at positions 29 to 526 of the family's 1533-position model. The record is from RNAcentral.